GAUGAACGCUAGCGGGAGGCUUAAUACAUGCAAGUCGAACGGUAACAGCGGAGCUUGCUCUGGCUGACGAGUGGCGCACGGGUGAGUAACGCGUACACAAUCUACCCAUUACAGGAGGAUAGCCUUGGGAAACUGAGAAUAAUACUCCAUAGUAUUUCGGGGUCGCAUGACCCUGUUAUUAAAGUUCUGGCGGUAAUGGAUGAGUGUGCGUACUAUUAGAUAGUUGGUGAGGUAACGGCUCACCAAGUCAACGAUAGUUAGGGGGCGUGAGAGCGUGAUCCCCCACACGGGUACUGAGACACGGACCCGACUCCUACGGGAGGCAGCAGUAAGGAAUAUUGGACAAUGGGCGCAAGCCUGAUCCAGCCAUCCCGCGUGAAGGAUGACGGCCCUAUGGGUUGUAAACUUCUUUUAUAGAGGACGAAACGUACUGUUUUAACAGUGCCUGACGGUACUCUACGAAUAAGCACCGGCUAAUUCCG
This 482-nucleotide ribosomal RNA is filed under the name uncultured Saprospiraceae bacterium. Its description in RNAcentral is "bacterial SSU rRNA". It matches the Rfam family "Bacterial small subunit ribosomal RNA", at positions 28 to 505 of the family's 1533-position model. The record is from RNAcentral. Lineage: Bacteria; Pseudomonadati; Bacteroidota; Saprospiria; Saprospirales; Saprospiraceae.